RNAcentral lists this unclassified non-coding RNA (354 nucleotides) under uncultured fungus. Its description in RNAcentral is "partial contains 5.8S ribosomal RNA and internal transcribed spacer 2". The stretch from base 1 to 134 matches the Rfam family "5.8S ribosomal RNA", at positions 22 to 154 of the family's 154-position model. The record is from RNAcentral. Lineage: Eukaryota; Fungi.
UGGUUCUGGCAUCGAUGAAGAACGCAGCGAAAUGCGAUAAGUAAUGCGAAUUGCAGAAUUCCAGUGAGUCAUCGAAUCUUUGAACGCACAUUGCGCCCUUUGGCAUUCCGAAGGGCAUGCCUGUUCGAGCGUCAUUAUCAACCCUCAAGCCCCGCGCUUGAUGUUGGACGGCUUGGUCGAGCCCACCUCGACCCCUCCGAAAGAUAACGACGGCGGCCCGUGGGACCCCCGGUACACUGAGCUUCUUCACCGAGCACGUACCGGACGAGGGUGCCCGGGACCCGGUCCUCCCUCCCGUGAAAAUGGGAACAUUUUCUCCAGGUUGACCUCGGAUCAGGUAGGAAUACGCGCUGA